This 67-nucleotide transfer RNA is filed under the name Themus regalis. RNAcentral's name for it is "tRNA-Leu". Lineage: Eukaryota; Metazoa; Arthropoda; Insecta; Coleoptera; Cantharidae. The record is from RNAcentral.
UCUAAUAUGGCAGAUUAGUGCAAUGAAUUUAAGAUUCAUAUAUAAAAAAUAUAUUUUUUUAUUAGAA